Molecule: non-coding RNA, 872 nt
Organism: Meleagris gallopavo (turkey)
Lineage: Eukaryota; Metazoa; Chordata; Aves; Galliformes; Phasianidae
Source: the annotation of a RefSeq genome assembly
AUGACACUGCUCUCUGAAAAAUUCACACGACCGUUCCCGCUGCCGACAGUGGCUGUGAGCAGAGCCCAGGUGCAGCAGGAGCCGUCGGCAGUGACCAGCGAGGGCACCGGCAUCAACAUCACCUGCUCACUUCCCCAUACAGAGCGCAAUGAUUACAUCUACUGGUACCGUCAGUUCCCGGGCCGGGGCCCCGCAUUCAUCGGGUUCAUUCACGAAGGCUCCAAGGAGUUGCAUGACUUGGCUGGGCAGCUGUCGGUGUCGGCAGACCGCCGCUCCAGCACCCUGCGGCUCGCCCGGCCCCGGUACGGGGACGCGGCGGUGUACUACUGCGCCGUGAACCCACGGGAAGCGAAGCCGAGGCUGCGGCAGAGCAAGAACCACAUCGGGCGGGGCGGGGCGGGGCGGGCGGGGACACAGUGCCGUCCGGACCCGCAGGGAGCGCUGCCACUCCUUCCGCCGGGGCCGCCUCUCCCCUCCGGGCCCCGCUCGAGCUGACAUUGCUGACAUGGAACAUGUCCCUCGCACAGCUCGGCAUCCCCCAGAAUAAGGGAUUCCAGCUGCACACCUUCAUGAGCACGGCAUGUCGAGAUCACAGACACCUUCAAGUGGUCCCCACUGUGGCUCUCUUUUAAGACCAUGAGCUUGUGUGACAGGAUUCGGGAUCUUUGGAAGUGAGGUCCAGGACUACUUUUUAAUUAAACCCCCACAGACAGCUCAGGUCCCCACAGCCUCAGGAUGGGAUGGCAGAGAGAAUAAGGAAAGGUAAAUGCAAGACCAAGAACUCAUGGGCUGAAACAAUAUAUAAGGCAAGCUCAAUGACAAGCAUGCAAGUUAACCAAAACAAUGAAUUCACUCACUACAUCUAAUCAGUA